This 496-nucleotide ribosomal RNA is filed under the name uncultured bacterium. RNAcentral describes it as "bacterial SSU rRNA". It matches the Rfam family "Bacterial small subunit ribosomal RNA", at positions 28 to 524 of the family's 1533-position model. The record is from RNAcentral.
GACGAACGCUGGCGGCGCGCUUAACACAUGCAAGUCGAACGUGAAGCCGGAGCUUGCUCCGGUGGAAAGUGGCGAACGGGUGCGUAACACGUGAGCAACCUGCCCCGAAGACUGGGAUAACACCGGGAAACCGGUGCUAAUACCGGAUACCUUCUUCCGAUCGCAUGGUUGGAUGAAGAAAUGGAUUCCGCUUCGGGAUGGGCUCGCGGCCUAUCAGCUUGUUGGCGGUGUAAUGGACCACCAAGGCGACGACGGGUAGCUGGUCUGAGAGGAUGGCCAGCCACAUUGGGACUGAGAGACGGCCCAGACUCCUACGGGAGGCAGCAGUGGGGAAUCUUGCGCAAUGGCCGAAAGGCUGACGCAGCGACGCCGCGUGUGGGAUGAAGCAUUUCGGUGUGUAAACCACUGUUGCCCGGGACGAAACCGCCUAUUCGUGGGCGUUGACGGUACCGGGUGAGGAAGCACCGGCUAACUCCGUGCCAGCAGCCGCCGUAAU